This is a non-coding RNA of Theobroma cacao (cacao), 823 nucleotides long. NCBI's taxonomy places the organism in Eukaryota, Viridiplantae, Streptophyta, Magnoliopsida, Malvales, Malvaceae. The record is from RefSeq and is a predicted model, not a curated record.
AAUUUCUUCAUUUCAGUUAAUUUUUUAAAAAAGAAUUGUAUAAAUAUUAAACAAAAAAGGGGGAUUCUUCACUUCUUUCUACUCCUAUAUAAAGUACCAAGCCCACAUGCUUUCCUUUGCCAUCAGUAAAUUUUUCUUUCUCUUUUGUCAUUAUUGUAUGCUUGUUUUGAUCAUCAAUCAUCAGCAUGGAGAACAAAGCUUUGGUUAGAUUGAUGCUACUUUUUCUGGGUUUCUCUUAUCUUCUCCUUUCCUGUGCUGCCGUUCCCACAACAAGAAGCCUCAAGUCAUAUAAGGAACUCCCUUCUUCUUCUGUCCAAGAUUUACUUGCUCAGGAUGUAAUGAAAUUGAAUGAAGCUGAGGAAUCGACUGGGGGAGGAGAUGCAAUAUUCAGUGAUGAAAGGAUGCUAAUGGAAAGCACAGAUUAUCCAGGGACAGGUGCAAACAAGAACCAUGAUCCCAAAACCCCAGGGAGAGCUUAGGAACAAAGGAACAAAAAAAAAAAGAGAAGCCCAUAAUUUUUACAUAUAAUUUGUUUUAUGUAUAGACCAAGAAUGAGGGAAAAAUAAAUAUAUGAGAGUUUGGAUCUGGGUUUGGGACUUUGCUUUGUCCUAUGUUUUGCUAGAAUAUGCUCUCUCUUCCUUUUUUUUUUUUCCCUCUCUUUCUAUCCAUAAUCUUGUUUAAGGUUGUUUUUGUUUGUUUGUCUGUCUGUCUGAAGAGUUGUACUAUAAUCUAACUUGAAUUGAGAAACUUGUGCGGAGGGUUUGGGGGUUCACUUUACACAGAAAGGAAUGUUAUGGGUAUUUUGAGGAUUAACUUUUGAUGA